GCUCUCUUCAAAGCUGUCAGACAGGGACAUUUAAGUCUGCAGAGGUUACUGCUGUCUUUUUGUUUGUCUGUGUCCUGCCCCCAGAGGUGGAGCCUACAGAGGCAGGCAGGCCUCCUUGAGCUGUGGUGGGCUCCACCCAGUUGGAGCUUCCUGGCUGCUUUGUUUACCUAAUCAAGCCUGGGCAAUGGCGGGCGCCCCUCCCCCAGCCUCGCUGCAGCCUUGCAGUUUGAUCUCAGACUGCUGUGCUAGCAAUCAGCGAGACUCCGUGGGCGUAGGACCCUCCGAGCCAGGUGCGGGAUAUAAUCUCGCGGUGCGCCGUUUUUUAAGCCCGUCGGAAAAGCGCAGUAUUCUCGUGGGAGUGACCUGAUUUUCCAGGUGCUGUCCGUCACUCCUUUCUUUGACUCAGAAAGGGAACUCCCUGACCCCUUGCGCUUCCCAGGUGAGGCAAUGCCUCGCCCUGCUUCGGCUCGCGCACGGUGCGCGCACCCACUGACCUGUGCCCACUGUCUGGCACUCCCUAGUGAGAUGAACCCGGUACCUCAGAUGGAAAUGCAGAAAUCACCCGUCGUCUUCGUUGCUCAGGCUGGGAGCUGUAGACCGGAGCUGUUCCUAUUUGGCCAUCUUGGCUCCUCCCCUGAUAGUUUUUAUUUUCAAACCAGCGAGAAUGCAACAGGUCAGCUCCACACGUGUCUCAUCCUUCCUGGACCAGCAGCUCCCUAGGGCAUGACCUUGUCAUGGCCAUGGCAGAAGCACAAGCAUGAAAGCCCCACUGCGCAAGGACAUUUCAAGCCUCUGCUCACAUCAUGUCCGAUAACAUCCCGCUGGCCAAAGCAAACCCCACACAGCCACCUUCACAAGGGUGGGUAAUUUUGCUCCACUUACUACUACAUAAUAAUCCUACUACAGGUGUGAUGGAUUAAGACCCGUAAUUUGACCUAUCACAGUCUUUGCAUCAACAGAGUAAGAGGUGAAAUUCUACUUAGAUAAGAGCCUCACCCACAGUAAUACAUGCCAUUUCCUGAAGCCAUAUCAAAUAUAAAAAUAUUUUUCACCACUGCCUCUGAACAGGUUUCCUGUUGCUGCUGUCACUGUCUUAGAACUCAAAGAUAUGUG
Molecule: long non-coding RNA, 1113 nt
Filed under: Pan paniscus (pygmy chimpanzee)
Lineage: Eukaryota; Metazoa; Chordata; Mammalia; Primates; Hominidae
Description: lncRNA (ENSPPAG00000044621.1)
Source: RNAcentral